AAAAAAAAAAAAGGAGCAAAAGGAAAGAGAGAAAGAAUCGAAGCCUCAAGCGUCACGUCUAGGAAUAGCGCUGGAGUCGGGCCAAGUCAUUAGAGACGAUGAGUAAUCUGGUUAAGUCAUUUCUCUAAACACCAUUCCUUCAGGCUCUUCCAGACCUUCCUGAGUGGUAGUGGCCACGGCUGAAGACAGAGGGCUGCGUGGAGGCUGAAGGCAGAGGGCUGGGCCUUGGGCCUGGGUAAAGACAGCUCUGGACAUGGAGUGGCAGGAGCGAUAAGCAGAACUACUGGUGACACUGUGGGAGAGAAAUUCUGCAAAAUAACAGCUGGGCAGCCCGGGACCCCAGGGAGUUGAAAUGGGACCUCGGAGACAUCAGGAUGUCCUGGAGAGGCACCAAGGCCAGAGGUCCCCCAGGGACCGUGGAGGGGGCAUUAAGCCCUGAAAACAGAUCAUGAUGCCCAUCCCCCCAGCACAAUUAGAAAUAAAAACAACCCGGGACAGUUAAAUUAGUGUAAGGAAGUCCCUCAAGAGUUUUACUUUUCCCGUAACGGCGAUUUUCGAUGCUCCUUCGGAAACAUCAGAUUCUUUCCAAGCGUUAUUCUUUUUCUAUUUUGGUGCCCGAAGUACUAGCGUGGUGGACCAAGCCCC
RNAcentral lists this long non-coding RNA (645 nucleotides) under Homo sapiens (human). RNAcentral's name for it is "HSALNT0035970". The record is from RNAcentral. Lineage: Eukaryota; Metazoa; Chordata; Mammalia; Primates; Hominidae.